UCGAGAAUCUUCCGCAAUGGGCGAAAGCCUGACGGAGCGACGCCGCGUGCGGGAUGAAGGCCUUCGGGUUGUAAACCGCUGUCGUAGGGGAGCAAAUUUUGAGCGAUCCUAGGAGGAAGCGCAGGCUAAGUUCGUGCCAGCAGCCGCGGUAAGACGAACUGCGCGAACGUUAUUCGGAAUCACUGGGCUUAAAGGGUGCGUAGGCGGCCGCGUAGGUGGGGUGUGAAAUCCCUCGGCUCAACCGAGGAACUGCGCUCCAAACCCCGCGGCUUGAGGAAGACAGAGGUGAGCGGAACUCACGGUGGAGCGGUGAAAUGCGUUGAUAUCGUGAGGAACACCGGUGGCGAAAGCGGCUCACUGGGUCUUUUCUGACGCUGAGGCACGAAAGCUAGGGGAGCGAACGGGAUUAGAUACCCCCGUAGUCC
Molecule: ribosomal RNA, 425 nt
Filed under: uncultured prokaryote
Description: bacterial SSU rRNA
Rfam family: Bacterial small subunit ribosomal RNA
Source: RNAcentral